AUUGAACGCUGGCGGCAGGCCUAACACAUGCAAGUCGAGCGGAUGAAGGGAGCUUGCUCCUGGAUUCAGCGGCGGACGGGUGAGUAAUGCCUAGGAAUCUGCCUGGUAGUGGGGGAUAACGUCCGGAAACGGGCGCUAAUACCGCAUACGUCCUGAGGGAGGAAGUGGGGGAUCUUCGGACCUCACGCUAUCAGAUGAGCCUAGGUCGGAUUAGCUAGUUGGUGGGGUAAAGGCCUACCAAGGCGACGAUCCGUAACUGGUCUGAGAGGAUGAUCAGUCACACUGGAACUGAGACACGGUCCAGACUCCUAAGGGAGGCAGCAGUGGGGAAUAUUGGACAAUGGGCGAAAGCCUGAUCCAGCCAUGCCGCGUGUGUGAAGAAGGUCUUCGGAUUGUAAAGCACUUUAAGUUGGGAGGAAGGGCAGUAAGUUAAUACCUUGCUGUUUUGACGUUACCAACAGAAUAAGCACCGGCUAACUUCGUG
RNAcentral lists this ribosomal RNA (484 nucleotides) under uncultured bacterium. RNAcentral describes it as "partial 16S ribosomal RNA". It matches the Rfam family "Bacterial small subunit ribosomal RNA", at positions 30 to 507 of the family's 1533-position model. The record is from RNAcentral.